This 343-nucleotide unclassified non-coding RNA is filed under the name soil metagenome. Its description in RNAcentral is "partial contains 5.8S ribosomal RNA, internal transcribed spacer 2, and large subunit ribosomal RNA". The stretch from base 1 to 120 matches the Rfam family "5.8S ribosomal RNA", at positions 35 to 154 of the family's 154-position model. The record is from RNAcentral.
GAUGAAGAACGUAGCGAAAUGCGAUAAGUAAUGUGAAUUGCAGAAUUCAGUGAAUCAUCGAAUCUUUGAACGCACAUUGCGCCCGCUAGUAUUCUGGCGGGCAUGCCUGUCCGAGCGUCAUUUCAACCCUCAAGCCCCCGGGCUUGGUGUUGGGGAUCGGCGAGCCUCCGCGCCCGCCGUCCCCUAAAUCUAGUGGCGGUCUCGCUGUAGCUUCCUCUGCGUAGUAGCACACCUCGCACUGGGAAACAGCGCGGCCACGCCGUUAACCCCCCAACUUCUGAACGUUUGACCUCGGAUCAGGUAGGAAUACCCGCUGUACUUAAGCAUAUCAAUAAGCGGAGGA